CACACUUUAGGCGUCCAUUAUUUGAAGCUCCUGAUUUUACAUGGUCGAUGAAAUGGAGCACCUUUGGGGAUGGAUUCCAUUAUUUUUUCUACACUCUAAAGAAGGGCACAAGAUCAUUGAAUAAUUAUCAACCUAGUGAAAGGCUAAACCUUCCAUCAAUCUGCUUGUAUCAAGAUGAAUUGGAAGGUGAAGAUUUCUUAUUCAGGACCAACAUUGUUGAACUGGAGGACAACUAAAAAGAUUACAUGGAUGAUAGCAUUAGCGAGGCCGAUUGCGACUAUUAUUCGCACAACUCCAGCGAUGACGACGAUGACCUUGAAUUUGACGAUAUUAAAACCGAUCAUCAAUGUCAUUCUCUCCCUUCAUGUUAUUACAAGCGACUCUCUAUUAGCUGCACAGUGGGAUGUUUUACAAAGAGUGAUGGACUUAUUGAUGGUGGGAGUACACCAUGCUCGUACUUUACUUAUUCAUUACCAUUGGGAUGUUGAUAAGCUAGUCACGGUGUUUGUUGAGAAGGGCAAAGAUCACUUGUUUGCGGAAGCUGGAGUUAAAAUGGUUAAAUGCCCUGAUCUUGGCACCUACUUAUCGCCUUCUUCAACUCUCUUCUGUAAUGUUUGCAUGGAGGAUGUUCGGUACAAUGAAACAACUCAAAUGGAUUGCCAACAUACAUUUUGCAACAAUUGCUGGACAGAGCAUUUUAUUAUGCAGAUAAGGGAGGGUCAUAGCAGGCGAAUUAAGUGCAUGUCACACAAAUGCAAUACAAUAUGUGAUGAAUCUGUCAUACGAAACCUAGUAAGCAAGAGAGAUCAAGAUCUAGCAAAGAAAUUUGAUCGAUUUCUACUAGAAUCAUACAUUGAGGAGAAUAAAUUGGUGAAAUGGUGCCCGAGUGUUCCUCAUUGUGGAAAUGCUAUACGUGUUGAGGGUGAUGUGCUAUGCGAGGUGGGAUGUACAUGUGGUUUACAGUUUUGUUUUAGCUGUUUAUCAGAAGCACACUCUCCUUGUUCAUGUUUGAUGUGGGAAUUGUGGACAAAGAAGUGGAAAGAUGAAUCGAUGAACCUAAAUUGGAUUAAGAUCAAUACGAAGAACUGUCCAUCAUGUCAUAAGCCUGUGGAGAAGAAUGGAGGCUGCAAUAUUGUUAGAUGUUUGUGUGGAAAGCCUUUCUGUUGGGUGUGUAUGCAAGCAAGGAGCUACAACCAUGCCUGUGGGCGUUAUGUAGACCCAGACGAUUCAGUUGAGCUUAGAAGAAAGACCCUCUACCGAUAUAGGCACUAUUAUGAACGGUUCAAAGCACAUAGAGAUUCCUUAAAUCUUGAGACUGAACUAGAGAAAACAGUAAGAAUGAAGAUAUCCUUUUGUGAAGAGGAGACAGGGCUUCGAGAGUUUAACUGGUUGGAGAAAGGAAUGUGUGUAUUAUUCAGGUCAAGACGGGCUCUAUCAUACUCGUAUGCCUUUGCCUUUUACAUGUUUGGAGAUGAAUUAUUCAAGAACGACCUGAGUAAACGAGAGAAAAAGAUUAAGCAGAAUCUAUUCGAGGAUCAGCAACAGCAAUUCGAGGCUAAUGUUGAGAAACUCUCAAGGUUAAUAGAAGAGCCAUUAGAUAAGUACUCUGUGGAUGAAGAAGUCAAGGCUAUAAGAUCAAAAGUGAUUAUUUUGUCUAAUGUUGUUGGCAAGUGCUGCAAGAGUAUGUAUGAUUGCAUUGAAAAUGAUUUACUAGGCUGCCUUCGUUGCAAUAUUCAUAAUAUCGCGCCUUACAGAUCAGAUGGAGUUGAGAAGGCGUCUGAGUUCUCUGCUAGCCUGUCUAACAUGGGCAGUCAAGGCAUACCAUCAGAGGAAGAGAUAAAUGGGUGGAUGGUGGAAAUCGACGAAUCUUCAAAAUUUGAUAGAUCGAAUAAAAGGUCGAGGGUUAGUUGAUGCAUGCUACAUUUGGCAAUGGCUGUACAGUGUUGUGGCAGAUUCAGAGAUUUCUUGUGAUGAAUUCAUCCAAAGAGUUUCUUGAUUUAUGAUUGAUAAUAAAGAUUCUGCUACAAUUAAAGAUACUGAUGAUUCGGGUGUUGUGAAUGAUGGUGGCACUGAAGUUUUGCAGCAAGCUUCUGGAAAUACUGCUGCUGAUUCUGUUGUUGAUGGGGCUGAAGUUUUGGAUAAUGCUUCUGUUACUGAGCUUAAUGACCAAGAAUCCAAGAUGAUGCUACAACUCUCUCUUCUAUACCUCCUGCUAAACAAUUGUACUUAUUGGCUAAAGAUACUUGUCACUCAGUGAAGAAUAAGAAUGAAGAUGCUGAGGUUAAGACACAAGCUGUUGAAGAUGCCGAGGUUAAGGCAAAAGCUUUGGUAGUCAAGAGUACUGAUAAACAUUUUGAGGGAAAAGUAGGUGUUAAGAAGAGAAGUAGGAAUUUGGUUAAAGAUGAAGAUGUGGAUGUAAAACCAAAGGCUAGGAAAGCAAAAACAUCAACAACUCUCUCUGAAUCUGUUAUUGAGUUGAAACCUUCUACUAGAGCUUCUACAUUAAAAGAAGGCGCAGAUGCUGAAGUUGUUGAAGUUGUUGAUAUUGAAAAAGGGGUUUCUGAUGUUACUGUUCGUUGUAGACCUUCUGGUGUAGCUGAAUUAAUGAAAUUGAUAGCUGAAAAUAAAAAACAAAGACGAGCUGUUUAUGAUAUUGGUUUUGGGAGCUUGUUUUCGAUUAAA
Molecule: RNA transcript, 2682 nt
Organism: Chenopodium quinoa (quinoa)
Lineage: Eukaryota; Viridiplantae; Streptophyta; Magnoliopsida; Caryophyllales; Amaranthaceae
Gene name: probable E3 ubiquitin-protein ligase ARI2
Exons: 12
Source: RefSeq, a predicted model, not a curated record